GCAACGGAUAUCUCGGCUCUCGCAUCGAUGAAGAACGCAGCAAAAUGCGAUACUUGGUGUGAAUUGCAGAAUCCCGUGAAUCAUCGAGUUUUUGAACGCAAGUUGCGCCCGAAGCCUUUCGGCCGAGGGCACGCCUGCCUGGGUGUCA
This 148-nucleotide ribosomal RNA is filed under the name Ricinus communis (castor bean). Its description in RNAcentral is "5.8S ribosomal RNA". It matches the Rfam family "5.8S ribosomal RNA". From Rfam's summary of the family: 5.8S ribosomal RNA (5.8S rRNA) is a component of the large subunit of the eukaryotic ribosome. It is transcribed by RNA polymerase I as part of the 45S precursor that also contains 18S and 28S rRNA. Lineage: Eukaryota; Viridiplantae; Streptophyta; Magnoliopsida; Malpighiales; Euphorbiaceae. The record is from Rfam by way of RNAcentral.